AGCUUUAGGAAUAGAUCUAAAGUUAUACCUGCCCAAUGUAGUCUUAUGAAUGGCCGCGGUACUUUGACCGUGCUAAGGUAGCGCAAUCAAUUGGCUCUUAAUUAGGGUCAGGUAUGAAUGGAGAUACGGGGUUUAGCUGUCUCUUAACCAUUUGUUUGAAAUUACUAUACAGGUGAAAAAGCCUGUGAGAAGAAAAAAGACGAGAAGACCCUUAGAGUUUUACCUAUUUAAAAUUUUGUUAAAGAUUAUAUUUUUAAUGGUUUAGUUGGGGCAACAUAGGAGUAUAUAAUCCCUCCUGUAUAUUAUUGACCGAUUAUAUUAAAUUUGAAUAAACUACCUUAGGGAUAACAGCAUAAUUUAUUUGAUAAGUUUGUGACCUCGAUGUUGGACUAGGAAAUUUAAAGGCUAGCCGUCUUUAGAGAAAGUUCUGUUCGAACUAUUAUUCCU
This 447-nucleotide ribosomal RNA is filed under the name Diversidoris aurantinodulosa. Its description in RNAcentral is "partial 16S ribosomal RNA". It matches the Rfam family "Archaeal large subunit ribosomal RNA", at positions 1918 to 2665 of the family's 2987-position model. The record is from RNAcentral. Lineage: Eukaryota; Metazoa; Mollusca; Gastropoda; Nudibranchia; Chromodorididae.